UUAGAUGUGGAGAUAAGAAGGUUACCAGAGUACCACUACUUGUCUUCAAAUCUCGCUUACAUAAAGUUGAGAAGGUGCAAGUUUGAGGAAGAUCCAAUGCCAACACUUGCGGAAUUGCCUUACCUAAGUAUGCUUGAAUUACAUGAAGGGGCUUUCAUAGGAAAGGAAAUGUUUUGCUCCGGGCAAGCUUUUGCUAAACUUGAGGACAUGUUUGGUUCAGUGUAUUAGGUAAUCCAUUACUGACCAAUUACGCGGCUAUUACAUUACGCCCCUAAUCCGGCGUUUGGUUCGCUGUAAUAGGUAUUACGCGCGUAAUACAAUCCCCACCUAAUCCCCAAAUUCCCUGCUUUUCUAAUCCCUUCCCAAAUCGAGUAAUAGGUAUUACGUCCGGCUUCCCUCCCCAACUCUCUGUUUUACCCUCCCUCCCUACCCGACCCUCUCCUCUUCUGUCCUCAUAAUUUCUCCUCCCAUUUCCCACUACUUUCGUUGAUGAUUCUGUCCUCAUCGUUUCUUCUCUCAGUCUCGGCGUUUGGUUUUGGAGGUAUGAAUAAACUUUUUAAUUUCUUGAAGCAUUUUACAUGAAUCUUUUCGUAAUAAUAGUUUCAGCCAUUUUUUGAAUGACUUGGGUUUUUUCCCAGAAUUUUCCCUUUGCUUGUUUCUUCUAGUUCUAUUUCUUCGUUUUUGUUUUUGGUGCUAAAUACUCGCUUGAAUAUCGAGUUAACUCUUUUUCUUUCUGCUAGUUCUAUUUCUUCGUUUUGCUUGUUUCAUUUUUUGGUGCUAGUUCCAGAAUGUUUUGCUUGUUAUACUAAUCGAUCCCAAGGAUCGGGUGGAAGCGAGGGGAAAUAAAUUUAUGCUAAGUGAUGCAUAUUGAUGGUGUGAAUGUAGUUCACACUUGUAAAGCAAAGCAGUAAAGCCGAUAAGAUCACUGCUUGCUGAUCUGCAUGGAUUCUUUUUUACUUUGCAAAGCUUUUUUAGAUUGAAACAUAUGCUUUGCUUGCACAGUGUGAUCAAAUAAUGCAGAUGAUUGAAAAAAGUUGCACAAUUCCUAGUUUUCUUCUUUAAACAAGGAUUUGUACUUUCUGCUUCUUUUUCUUCAUAAAGAGCAAUUCUGCCUUACUUGUUAAAACAUUCAAUAAUAUUUCAAGUUUGCGCAUCUUACUUGAAUUGGUACUUUAAACAUUUGUCUAGGUAUAAGCUCCUUCAGCUUUUGAGUCAAAGCCCUCCCAACAAAAUAUGCCUACAAAAUGUUAGCUGAUAUUCGAUUAAACUGCUUAUUCAACAUACAAAAUAUGAAAUUCAUAGAAAGGGGCCGAAAUUCAGAUAGGAGUUGCACUAUUUUAAUAUCACAACUGUUAAAACCAGAAAUUAAGAAUGCAAGCAAACACAUAUCAAUACUAGCAAAACAUUCUCAAAUAAUAACAUACUAAAGCAUUAUACAAAUUAGGUUGGAAGAAAAUUCAAGAAAACAAUCUGGACCAUGGUUGUUAAUAUGCUUUUAGCCUGUAAGAUUUGAAUGACAGUUUUAGACAAAGACCAGACCAAUAGAAAUGUAUACAACCAUUGACACAUUAAGUUUUACUUAGGUUAGCAAUUUAUUUGUAUAAUUUAUUUGUAUUCACAAAAUGCUCAUUAUUACUUACAUUACAAUCUCACCUGAUAUACAUAUAUUGAGACACUCCUGAAUUACUCUAGACUCAGAUAGGCUGUAUGAACACCAUAGGCUGAAAAUAUAUGGGGUAAAUUCUAUACAACUCCUAUUUCAACCAUUCCCACAUAGCACCUUAUGAUUUUUUCUUUUCCAAUUAAAACCUUGUAGUUAAGUUUCAGUUACAUAGAGGAUUAGCAUGCCAAUUUUAUCUAAUAAAAUUAUGAAAAGAACCUUAGUGUGAAUAGAUGACUUCUGAGUUGAGGGUAUUUUUAUAAUUUAGCUGAUAAAUUUAGUGGCAUAACUCCCUGAGUUUAUAGAAUUUAAAUACAGGAUGAUAAUUGUAACCCAAAGGAAAAAAAAAGAACCACAUGGUGCCACGAGGUAAAAGUUGAAACCACAGACAUAAAUGGAAUAUAACCUUUUACUCAAAGAAUACCAGUAAAUAUUUGUAACAAUUCAAAUAAAAAAAGAGGAGCACUAGACAGCUGACUAUGCCAACCAAUUCUACUUGUAUUUUUUAAUUUUUAGUAACUACUUGUUAAAACAUUUAAGCUGACUAUGCCACCACAUUUAGCACAAGUCUCGGCUGUUCGGGAGGCUUUAUUAUGGUUAAACCCUGCCCAUAUGUGAAGGAUUUGAUUUGUGUUGAGAUCAAUUCUCAACACGUUUUCAAUGCCGUAUAUAUAUAACCUCUAAAAAUACUACUAGCUGCAUUGGUAUUCAUAGAGAUCAGCUAGUGUUUUUGACUGUAUAUAUAUAACCUCUAAAAAUACUACUAGCUGCAUACAUAUCAGACAAAAGAAAAAACCUCCAUUAAUACAAGCUCUUGUUUUUUUUUCCUAUUUCUUUCUAUCUGAUUUAUCUUGUUUCUGGUCCUUCAUGUGUUUAACAUCCUUAGCAUGUGUUGUGUUUUCGAGAUUCUUUUGAUAUUACAAUGAUUACUCUUUAACAGUUUAUUUGUUGUUUAGUUGAAUAUAUUUUGCGGAAUCACCCAUUUCCUUUGUUUUUAUCUUGUUUUCAUAAUGUUUGCUGUAAUAUUCAUUUUGAAUCAUAUAUAUUCAAAGCUGCCAAGUUGGUAUAUUUAAUAAUCUAAAGGAAUGGUUACUAAAAGAGAGGCUGCUUUGGUAAAGUAUAUGAUCAAUUUUAUAAACUGAUUAUUUUUGUAACAUCGAUUUCCCUUUAUUGGUUACAGGUUCUUUGUUCCAACACUUCUACAUCGCAGUCGUCCCCGAUUUGCUCAUUACAGGUUAGUUUUCCAUUGGUAUUCAUGGUUGCGAAGGAUUUAGGAUAGUAGGGUAUGUAGUUUUGGGUGUUUAGCUUGCUGCUUUGUUUUAUCUGUUAGGCAACAUGAUAGUGAAUUACUUUUGUUGUUCAUUGGAGAAGCUUUCACAUCUGCUUAGGUUGCCUCCAACUAUUGUUGGGGUUUCACUCCUUCCACUGAGAAAUGGGGCACCAGAUGUGUUUGCCAAUAUAGCUGCAUUUUUGGGGACAAAUACAUGUGAAGUGGGUCUUAAUAGUGUGUUGGGUGGUGCAAUUUUUGUUAGUUGUGUUGUUGCAGGGACUGUCUCCCUUUGUGUAGUAGAGAAGAGGAUCCAGAUUGAUAAACGAUGCUUUAUUAGAGAACCGGAGUAGGGGGAAGGAUGGUAGGGGAGAGGGAAAGAAUCAGAGUAGGGGAAGAGGGUUAGUAAAGCAACGAUGUGAAGGGGGAAGGGAAAUCAUAAGAGUAGGAGGAGGGAUGGUAAGGAAAAGGGAGAGGGAUGGGAAAUGGGGAUGGAAAAUGAAAAUCUGUAACGGAAUCUACUUUGAUGGGAGUUCCAGCAGAAAAGUGCAGUUGAUGGAAUCUACUUUGAAGAGAAUGAUGAGGUCUCUCUCUGAUUUUUUCAUCUCCAUGAACUUCAAUCUCUCUCUCUCUCUAUAUAUGUAUAUAAACAACAUCAUCCCUCACCAUUCCUGCUUUUAACUUGUGCAGUAUGCUCCUGUGGUUGAGAUGUUGGAUGAGCCGAGCGGUAGCGAACCCACAUCUUAGAUAGUUACAUCAUGUCUUAUUAUUUUUUGUUAAUACAUUAACGGCUGUGAGGGUAGUUUUCAACUUUGGAAAUAGCAAGUCUGUGGUAUAUCAGCCUAUAGGAUCAGAGGUAAACAACACUUGAAAUUAAUUCCAUGUAUAAAUCAAUUAUCUAAACUACAAUGAACUUCCAAUCUUGUCUCAAAAUUGUGUGACCAUGGACUGGGACAUAUGCUUAAUUUAAGCCCUGAAAUGCAGUGUUCGAUAGAUACAGCUAUUUUUUACUUGAUGUUCUUUUGUUCCAUUCUGUUUAUCCUGCUUUGGUUAGAGAACUAGACAAGGGGUGAUGCAUUUAUGAUGAACUCCUUUCUCAAAAUAAAAAAUUGUCUAAAAUUCAGUACAAUAUUCAGAAGAUAAUAGUAAUGGUUAUUGAAUUUAUGUUUAUUAAAAAUUAAUCAAUAAUUGAGUUGAAGUAAACCGGUGAAAUGCUUACAAAUAAAUAUUCUUUUAAGUUUGGAUUCAAUCUUUAAAAUUGCAUAUAAAAAUACCAAAAGAUGAGAACACCGUUAUAUAAAUAUUUAAUUAUUUUAUUAAAAUAAUUAACUCAGAAACAAAUAUUAUAUUUUUGUUCAUGUAAAUAAUUCUUAAAUUUGAAUCUAGAUAAUUAUUUUAAAUUUUAUUAAAUCAUAUAUUUUAAUUAAAAUAUAUUUAAUAUUAAUUAUUUCAAAUUAUAUUUAUAGUAUCAUAUAUUAUGAUUUUAGUAAAUUCAUAUAAGAAUAUUGAUUAUUAGAAUUUUAUUAAAUUAUAUAUUUUAAUUAAAAUAUAUUUAAUAAUUAUUAUUUUAAUUUAUAUUUUACAGUAUCAUAUAUUAUGAUUUGAGUAAAUUCAUAUAAGAAUAUUAAUUAUUAAGAAUUUUAUUAAAUUAUAUAUUUUAAUUAAAAUAUAUUUAAUAAUAAUUAUGUUUAAAUAUGAGUAAAUUAUUUAUUAUUGAUAUUAAUAAUCUUAUUAAAAUUUAAAUAAAAUAAUUUACCAAAACAAAUUUCUGCUAAUUAUUAAGAAUUUUAUUAAAUUAUAUAUUUUAAUUAAAAUAUAUUAAAUAAUAAUUAUGUUUAAAUAUGAUUAAAUUAUUUAUUUUUGAUAAUAAAUAAUCUUAUUAAAAUUUAAAUAACAAUAACAAUAAUCAUUUACCAAAACAAAUUUAUGCUAAGGGUAUUCUGGUCAUUUUAGUUUUCUCCAUUAUGCUAUUACACCUCUAUUACAUUCAACCAAACACAGUUUUACUAUUACGCCUAUAUUCCAUUACAUUCAACCAAACAGUUGAUUUGCUAUUACACAUCUAUUCCAUUACACCUCUAAUCCAAUACAGCGAACCAAACGUGCCCUGAGUCUCUAAGCCUUAAGGGGCUGAACUUUCUGGAGGAGUGGAAGGUGAGUGAAGGAGCCAUGCCUUGUCUUCGGCGAUUGGAGAUAGAGUUCUGCGGACGACUAAAAAAGAAUCCAGAUUUACUGAGGUUCAUUGCAACCUUCCAAGAACGGAAAAUUUAAAAAAUGCCAAAGACAUUCAAAGAUAAAGUGGAGGAAGGGGGAGAAGAUUUCUGCGAAGUCCGACAUGUUCCUUGUAUCAUGUUGCAAGACUGUUUCUGGUAGUGAUUAUGAUUAAUGCCAGGUAAUUCAUAAUGUUUGUUUUAGGGAAUACUUAACCCAUUUGUUUAUAUAUAAAAAUCCACAACUAUUUGGCAUGUUUAGAUUCUUUCUCAGGCAGAUAAUUAUUUAGAGAAGAUCCUAGUUUCGGUUCUUAUCCUCUGUCUCAUAUUCCCACAAGAUUUGUCAUUUGAAUUAAAAGAGCUAGAAAAUAUUUUCAAUAAGGUGUUAAGGAUGUUCGUGAUAAUCAGCAGAUGCAAUUUUUGAACUUUUAUGUCAAGAUUCUACAACUAGUUCAUAUGAUAUUGACUUUUUUUAACUCUUCCUCUUCAGGUGUAGAAGUUAUUGCCAUAUUAUUUAUCCUGCUGCUGCUCUUCAUGGGACCAAAUAUAUGAAAGAGUUGUAACAGUACUGUGUGGAAGUGUGUAGUUGGUGAUUCGAAAUUGUCUUGUAUUUUCUAUUCUAUUGUUAAAAAACAAAAUGAUUUGAGACAUCACAAAAGAUAGCAUGUAAAUGACAUAAAUAGCCCUUAGUGUUAUAAUUUAUAUAACUAUUACAAACACAUUUUGUUGUAUAAAAUCUAAGAUAAAAUUGAAACCCAAUACCAAUACCAAUACCAAAUUAUUCCUCUAAAUUGUAUAAAAGUGACUGUACAGCCCAUUUUUCCCGGCCCAGUAUACAAAUAAAACCAAAUCUACCCAAAACCCAAUUACAACCCGGGUCCCAAACCAAAAGACUAAGCCCAAAUAACCCAAGACCCAGCAAGGAGUCAAACUAGGGUUUCAGGGACUGAAACCCUAGUGCCACCGCCACUGUCCCAUCCUCUGCCACCCACCGCCUCUCCACUUGCACCGCCCAUCAAGUGCCUGCAAAAUUAAAAGAGAAGAAAUGAUAGCAAACGAAUGGAGGGGAUGUUAAAAAAAAUGGCUAUAAAAGAGCCCUUGAAACUGAUUGUAAAGCUCUGCUUUUUUUUUUUGAUAUACGAACAGCUACAAAGAAAAUACAAAAAAAGAAACAGAUAAAAAAAACAAUCUAACAUUCCAAGGUGAUUUUUUUCAUUUGUAUUUCUUUUCUUUUUAUAUUAGUUUAUUUUUUUUUAAAAGAACAGUUUAUAUUUGUGCUAAAAUUAUAAAGAGAAACAUAUAAUUUUUUUUUACCUUUUUUAAAUUUUCCGGCUACCGUGUGCGGAGAGAAAACUCCCCCUCCGUUUUCUUUUUUUCUUUCUCAAUGCCCAAAUGAUUUUUUUUUUCAAAAUAGUGGCUUUUAUACCCUUGUAAAACGACGCCGUUUUGUCCAGCAUCCUUAAGCCCCAAAACGACAUCGUUUUGAAUUGGGUCGGACCGACCCGACUCGAACCGGCUAGGAUCUGCAUGUUUUUGGACAAAGGGGUUAUUCGGGCCUUUAGUCCUUCCACUUUUGAGGCUGGUUACAAUUGGGUCUAAUCCCUUAUUUGUUUUUUUUAAAAUUUCGCCACAGAUUUUCAUUUUUUUAAUUUGGUCCAUAGACCUUGUGCACAAACCAUGCUAGAACGGCGCCGUUUAAUCAGCGUGGGAAUAUUUCCCUUUUGGUCCUUUUGUUCACACGCAUUACGAUUUAAUCCCUUUUGGUGUUUGUAUUUCUAUUCCCAAUCCUGAAAUUUAAUUUAGUUUUUAAUUUAAUCCUAUUUUCGUUAUUUAGGUUAUUUAUUAGAAAAUUAAUCACUUUUAUAUCAUUAAUAUUAUUAUAUAAUAUUAUUACUACAGCAUUAUUGUCAUUAUUAUGAUCAUACAUUUAUACAUUACACAUACACAUAUUUGCCAUGUUUUAUAACCUUAAAAUAUAUACAUACAUAUAUUCCUCUUAUUUUAUAAUUUUACACAUACUUAUAUAUAUUUUGUAAUCUAUAUACAUAUUUAGGUAUCUUUACAUACAUAUUUUAAUACGUAUACAUAUUUUAUAAUACAUAUAUACACAUUCAUCUUUUUAUUAUUUUAUAACUUACAUACAUAUCUACACAUUUAUAUACAUUUUUUAAUUUUCAUAUCUAUAUACUUUAUAUCUUAUUUAUCUAUAUAUCUUUAUAUACAUAUUUUUAAUUUUCAUAUAUAUAUAUACAUGCUUGCAUAUUCCUUAUUAUAUCUUAUACUUUAUAUACAUAUACCCUUUUGCAUUUUUAUAAUUAUAUUUACUUAUUUAUUUGUUUAUUCACGCUUUCAUUAUUAUAUUAAAAAAUGUUUCACUCUUAUCUGCUUAUAUAUUCGUUAUUCAGCAUGCUAUUGAUUCGUCUUUUUUAUUUUUGUCACUAUCGUUCGUAUUAUGUUACGCUAUCGUAUUUAUUAUUGUUUCGUAUGCAUAUCCACAAUGUAAUUUGUUUUUUGGAUUUUUUACGACAUUGUGUUUUACUUUACGCGGUAUAUCAAAAGUCAUUUUUCGUAUUUUGAUAUUCGAAAAAUCGUACCCUAACUUACGAGGUUUUGAUUUUCUCGAUAAAUCUAAAUACGCGAAUCAUUUCAAACAAAGUUUUUUUUAAAUGCUCUCGGGAAUUAACGAAAGAUCGUGUUCUAACUCACGGGACAUGAUCUUUUUCUUAAACCCGAGAUAAUCAAAUAUCUUUCAAAAUAAGUAAAUUCUUUUUUGGUAUUCAUUUUCGUAUUGAGAAUUCGAGACAUUGUGUCCAUAAGUUUGUCCUAACUUAUGGGAUAUAAUUCUCUUUCUCGAUCAAUGUAAAAUAUGCCUUCUUCUAAAAAACUUUUAACAUUUCGAUAAAGGAUCGUAUUUUAAAUCUCUUUAAAAUUUCCAAUCUUCAAUGCUAAUACACUAAUUAAUCAACCAGGUACAAAUUUUGGGUGUUAUGAGGGUGCUAAUCCUUCCUCGUACGUAACCGACUCCCGAACUUAUUUUUCUGAAUUUCGUGGAUCAAAAUCGUUAUUUUAAUAAAAUCAAAUUAUUUACUAAAGACAAUUACUUUUCGAAGUGGCCCGAUCACACAUCAUUAAAAAGAUCAGUGACGACUCCCAUAUUUGUUUUCAUUUUCAAAUCCAAGUCGACCCCGUUUUGUCAAAAAAAUGGUGUCAACAGUGACAAUCUUUGGAAAAUAAUUUAAAAAUAAAACCAGCUUUGUAAAAUAUUGACAUCAACUAUAAUUUAAUGUGUAAUUAUUAUAUACAUAAACUUUGAUUAUGUGUAAUUUUAUAUAUAUAAUUUUGAUUUGAUCUAAUUCUUGUAAAUUAUUAACACAAUUAUUAAUAUAACAUCAUUUUAUGUUUAUACAUUUCAUAUAUAAAUAAUUAUAUUUAUCCAAUAUAAAAAUAAAUUGAUUGAUUUAUUGCUUUAAAUAUGUACAAUUAAAUCAAAAUUAAAGUUUCAAGUAUACAUUUGAACCACAAUUAUAGUUUUGCAUGCAUAAUUGCACCAAUUUAAAGUUCAUGUAUAAUAUUGAGACUGAUCCCUUAUAAAGUAUGACCAAAUACGAAAAAUAUCAUUAACACAACAUGUGUAAAAAAAUAUAACAAACUAUACAUAAAAUGAUUAACUAAUGUUAAGAAAUUUAUAUUACUAACAUGAUGAACACGAAGAGAACAUAAAAUAAUUAAAAUACAUUAUAUAUAAUAAUAAUAAAACAUGGUUUUGAUAAAAAUAUACAAAUGUGUUAAAACCUACUCUAUUAUUUAAAUGUGUGAUUGAAUUAAUAUCAUAAAUUAAUUUGAUAUUAAUUUAAUUAAUGAAAUUAUUAAAAUAAUCUUAUAUAUCUUUAAAAGUUAGAGAUAAUGCAUAUUUAAUACAUGUACUUUCAUAAAAUGUUCAAAAUAAUACCUAAUACUAUAUAUAUAUAUAUAUAUAUAUAUUUGAAUCUCUAAUUCGAUUAUUAUUUUUUUAAUUAUAGCUAUUUGAUUUCAUUUUCCUGAAUAUUCUUGUUUGUGGAUCUCCUUAUCCGAUCUUAAUAGAUAAAAUAAAAUGGUUAAUGAUGAAAAAAGAAAAAAACACUAAUAAUUUAUAUUAUUAAUCUUCAUUCACUUUAAAAGUAAACCAACUAUUUUUUUAAAAUUUUAUUUAAAUUUUAUCUAACAUAUUUUCUAUAAUUUCAUAUAAUCAAAAUUGAUAAAUUUAAAAUACGUUUUAACGUGCAGGCUGAUUUAGAUUUAGUUCAAUUAUAAAUAUUGAUACAAGCAAUACAAUGAACACCCAUAUAAACUCAUUCAGCUUAAGUAGAUUCAUGGCUAUGCUUAUGCCAAAUUCAUUGGUCUAUUUUUCUUAUAUCAGUAGCCACUGUCGUCAGCAACUCACCUUUCAUCAUCGCUCAGAAGAAGGCAUUGCUCACCAGACUCAAAUCUAUACCAAAUGCAUCUAUCAACAUCUACAAUCAAGACUUCUCGAUGGCAUAUGAUGCAAGUCUCAUGGAUUAUAUAAGUUGGCUCCAAGAUACAUCUGAUGUGACUAGUGGGAGUAUUUCUAUCAUAUCCACUUGAAUUAGAGGCCUAAAACAAGGCAUAUUAUAAAUAUACAAUGAAGAGGUUUUAACCACAGAAACGACUAAAGCUUGAAAGUUUAUAAUUUAAAUAAUAAUAAUAAUAAUAAAGUACACAUGAAUUAUCAUGUUGGUUAUUAUGUCUAAAAAUUUAAUAUUUUGAUUGAUAUUUUCAUUAAGAAUAAUAAUUUAACUCUUUUUUUAAAAGGUUGGUGAUCAAAUUUAAUACUUUUGAAAAACUGAGUACUGAAGCUAGCUUAAAAAAUGAUGAUCAAAAUAUUAAAAAAUAUAAAUGUUACAGGCUAAAUUUAUCAUUGUAAAAUUUUAAUUAUUUAAAUAUCAUACAACAUACAUAUAAGUGUAACACUAUGCUAGGUUGAUAUUUCCAAAUAAUACUAAAAAACGCUACACUGUUUAUAACAUAUUUAACUGUCAUAAUUUGAAUUAAGACUGAAAUUUUAAAAUUUUAAAAAUAUAUAAAUUAAAUAUUAUCAAAUUGAAGAACAGGAAGAAUGAGUUUUAAUACCAGAAUUUGAUCUAGUACCGUUUGAUUAAAUUGACUUAAAUCUCAAAAUUUUAAAAAUAAAAGACUAAAAUAGAUUGAAUUAAAAAUAUUAAAUUUGAUAUCAGUUUAGAAAUUUUGGUGCCCUUCAAAAAACUUGAAUAUUUCUUUAAAAAAGGUUUUGUAUCUCUAUAGAAAGCUGGGAAUCCCUUCAAAGAAUUUGACUAACAAAUAUUGUUAUACCAAAAUUUAUUUUUAUUUGAAGUAGCAAUUAUUUAGAUGAAAUAUAAUGUUAUUUAAUUCCUAUCAAAAUAUAUAAGGUGAUAUAAAAUUUAUUUUAGCAUACAAAAUUUCUAAAAUAUAAUAUAUUUGAAUAAUAGAGUUCAAGUGGAGCAAGUGGUUCACGUGCAUAAGGACUUGUAGUACACGAAGAAAUGCAAAAUAUAUGCAAGUGGAGCAAGUGGUGCCUCUACAAGUGUGCAAAUUGGAAGAGAGUUCCAAGCGUUCCAAGCGGCUCACGUGAUGAAGAAAUGCAAAAUAUAUACCGUGAUUCACUCCAAGUGUUUCAAGUGCCUUGAAGAGAACCCAAAAUUCUAAACUAAUAGCUAUGCCUUCCCAUCCCAUGGUUACACUUACAAACAAGGGCAUAAAAAGGGAUUUUCAAACCCACUUUGAUCUUCUUCAAUAUUAGUGUAAAAGUUGUCGUUGCAUUACCAUAAAUAUGAAGUUCAAUUUUUAAAAAAAUGGAUUUGGAAUAAUUUGUUUUUUUUUUUUUUUGAAAGUCCUAACAAUUGGAGGAUUAAAUCCACAAAUUUCGCAAAAUAUAUGGACUAGUAGCGCAAUAUGACCUAAAUAAAAUUACUCACUCUUCCUCCAACUUGGUUUCCAGUUAGAUAAGACUGGCUGUUGCUACUUCUUUCCACACUUCACAAUAAAGUCUUUCUUUUUUCUUUUCACGCUCGCUAGAAUUGAAAUUAUAGAAAGAUUACAUUUUGAGAAAUUAAUUUUCAGAACAAUCUAUGGAUUUCUCUGCUGUGUCUUAUGCUCUCGAAACAAUCGACAAGCUAACACAAGAAGUUACAUCCUUGUGGGGCGUCGAUGAACAAGUUGGGGGCUUAGCAAGUGAGCUGAGAUGGAUGCAAAGCUUCUUGAAAGUGGCAGACGCAAGAAAAGUUGAUCAUGAGGUGAUACGUACCACCGUUGUUGAGAUCAGAGAGUUGGCCUACGAUGCUGAAGAUGUGAUCGAGACGUUUUCCAUCAAAGUUGCUUCCAAAAGGAAAGGUGGAUUUUCAAAUUGCAUCAAGAGAUCCGCUUGUUUCCUCAAGGAGGGAUGCCUGCUCCACCAGAUCAAGUCAGAGAUAGAGAAAAUCACAGCCAGAAUCAAAGUAUUGACUCGACAAUUGAAGACGUAUGAUGUAUCAAAGUUAGGUGUUGAUGGAGAAGGACCAAGUUCUUCAACUGAAAGGCGGGAGGCAAGGCGGCCUUAUCCUCAUGUUAUGGAUGAUAACAUUGUUGGAUUGGGUAAGGAUAUUGAGAAACUGGUCUCAGUUCUUGUCGAUGAGGAAAGCGAAUGCAAGGUCCUCUCCAUAUGUGGCAUGGGUGGUCUGGGGAAGACCACUCUUGCCAAGAAAAUAUAUAGUCAAAGCCAAGUUGUUGGUCAUUUCAAGCACUUGGCUUGGGUAUACGUUUCUCAAAACUGUCAAAAAAGAAAAGUAUGGGAAGACAUUUUAUCUGAUUUUAACCUCUUAAGUGAAGCUGACAAGAAGAUGAAGGUUGAAAAAUUAGCAGAGAAGUUAUCUAGUUUCUUGGAGGAAAAUAAAUGUUUGGUGGUACUCGAUGAUAUUUGGAACACCGAGUCUUGGGAUAGCUUAAAACCAGCAUUUUCAGCAAGGGAGACGAGAAGCAAGAUAUUACUCACCUCUCGGAACAAAGAAAUAGUUUCACAUGCUGACAGUAAAGGUUUCCUAUAUGAGUUGCAGUAUCUAAACUACAAACAAAGCUGGGAAUUAUUUCAAAAGAUUGCCUUUCCCCCAACAAAUUCUCCAGGUAAUAUGUUUAUUGAUUUCAUAAUUGCAAAAUUAUUCUUGUCUUAAUAUAUAUUGCAAUGUUUACUCUACAUUCUAUUUUUUUUGUUAAAAAAAUUCUAUAAAGUUAGUUGAUUUAAUAUUAUAAAUCAAUUAUAGGGAAUUAUUAAAUUAACAUUCAUUAAUAUCAAAAUCUUGAUUCAUUAAAGAAUGAUACGAGGAGCAAGAAUAACACUUGUAGUAAAAAAAAAAAAGCACCAACUUUUUGAUUAAAUAAGUAUAAUUUAAUUUAGAAUUAUUAAUUAAAAUAUUGUGCUAAUUUUAAAAUAAAAUUUUUAUUUGAAUAAAACUCUAAUUAUAAAAUAUUUUUAUAAUUUGUGUUUAUAAUUUGUUUAUAUAAAAGCUUGUAUUAUGAUUGCUGCUCAUAAUAUUUUUAAUUUAUCUACUUUCUAAUUUCUCCUACUAAAAUAAAGCCUUAAAACAUAGUACAAUAAAAACUUUCUAACUAUGUGUGUAAAAACAUUUUAUUUAUUUUUAAUAACUUUUCAAAUUGUUAAAUUGGUGAUAAUAUUGUGGUUAAUUACUAAAAUGUAAUGUUGUGGGUAACUUGCAUUGCAUCCUGCUUCACUAAUUAUUUGAAAUUGUUUAAGAUGUCAAUAUUAUGUGGUUAAUUACUAAACUGUAGUCUGAUUUUGAAGUUAUCACUGAUUUUUUUUGAAACUUUGUUUUGGUAUUAUACAGGCUAUAAAAUUGAUGCGAAAAUGAAGGAGUUGGGAGAGGAAAUGGUUAAACACUGUGCAGGGCUUCCAUUAGCCAUCAUUAUAUUGGGAGGAAUUUUGGCUACAAAGUAUCCUUCAUUAACUGAAUGGCUGAAGGUAUCUGCAAAUGUGAAAUCAUACUUGAACAACGAUAAAGGUGAAGUCCUAAGAGAUGUGUUGGCAUUAAGUUAUGAUGAUUUGCCUCCCUAUUUAAGACCAUGUUUUCUUUAUUUAAGCCACUUUCCGGAAGAUUAUGAGAUACCUGCGGAUAGAUUGAUUCAAUUAUGGGUUGCCGAAGGUAUUGUUUCAUCAAAGCAAGAAGAAGGAGAGGAAGGGCAAGUAGCGGAAGAUGUGGCUGAAGGUUAUUUGCUGGAGCUUGCAGAAAGAUGUAUGAUUCAAGUACGAGAAAGAGACAUUGCAACCUUAAAGAUAAGAAGUUUUCAGAUGCAUGAUCUAAUGAGAGAUGUUUGCUUGUCCAAGGCAAAACAACAAAAAUUCCUCUAUAUUGCAGAUCAGUCAAAUGCGUGCCAGUUAUCCACUAUUGGGAGGGUUCGCAGAGUUUCUGCUCACAAAUUUAUUCCCUUACAGUGCAUUAAAAGUCCACGUCUUCGAUCACUUUUGCUUUUCGAUGAGCUUUUACCGGACGAAGAACAGGCAAAUAUUUUUCCAUUGACAAUGCAAAGCUACUUCGAGAACCACGAUUUUGACAAUCCACUUUAUUGGUUUGUGGCACCUUUAAUGCUUAGCGUGGUAUUUACUAAAUUUAGGGGAAUUUGGAAAUAUAUGUUCAAUAAUUUUAAUUUUCUUAGAGUGUUAGAUUACGAAGGAGGAGGAGAAGCAGGAUGCAAGUUACCCAAUGACAUUGGUAAACUCAUCCAUUUAAGAUUCUUGAGACUAAGGGAUUUGGAAUUCUUGAGUUCAAAGUUGCCAUCAUCUCUAGGCAACUUAAGGUGCUUGCAAACAUUGGAUUUAAGAAUAGAAGGCGGAUGCUCAAACUCUAUUCAUGUACCUAACGUGUUAUGGAGGAUGCAGCAACUAAGGCAUUUAUAUCUCCCCGAGGAAUGUAAUCGUAAAACAAAGUUGAAGCUGGGUACAUUGAGAAACCUCCAAACACUUGUCAACUUCAACACCAAGAAUUGUUAUGUAAAGGAUCUUAUCAACAUGACAAAUAUUAGAGAGUUGGAGAUUCGAGGGCCCUUCAAUAUUGAAGAUUGUAACACGGGGGAGUUGGACAAGAAUCCACCUAUCAUCCACAGCAAAUAUCUUCAUUCCCUGUCUAUUAUUAAUGAGGAAGGAAUAAUCGAUCCAAGACAUUUGGCACACCUCCUUUUGAGUUGCGAAAACAUUUCUAAGUUGAGGUUAGAUGUAGAGAUAAGAAGGUUACCAGAGUACCACUACUUGUCUUCAAAUCUCGCUUACAUAAAGUUGAGAAGGUGCAAGCUUGAGGAAGAUCCAAUGCCAACACUUGCGGAACUGCCUUACCUAAGUAUGCUUGAAUUACAUGAAGAGGCUUUCAUAGGAAAGGAAAUGUUUUGCUCCGGGCAAGCUUUUGCUAAACUUGAGUCUCUAAGCCUUAAGGGGCUGAACUUUCUGGAGGAGUGGAAGGUGAGUGAAGAAGGAGCCAUG
This 14648-nucleotide long non-coding RNA is filed under the name Gossypium barbadense (sea-island cotton). RNAcentral's name for it is "long non-coding RNA (GBAR_LNC021233)". Lineage: Eukaryota; Viridiplantae; Streptophyta; Magnoliopsida; Malvales; Malvaceae. The record is from RNAcentral.